CCUACGGUGGGCAGCAGUGAGGAAUAUUGGACAAUGGACGAGAGUCUGAACCAGCCAAGUAGCGUGAAGGAUGACUGCCCUAUGGGUGGUAAACAUCUUUUAUAAAGGAAUAAAACGAGAGACGUGUGCCUUUUUGAAUGGACUUUAUGAAUAAGGAUCGGCUAACUCCGUGCCAGCCGCCGAGGUAAGACGGAGGAUACGAGCGUUAUCCGGAUUGAUUGGGUUUAAAGGGAGCGUAGGUGGGUUGUUAAGUCAGAUGUGAAAGCUUGUGGCUUAACCCUAGAAUUGCAAUUGAUACUGGUCGUCUUGAGUCUAGUAGAGGGAGGCAGAAUUCGUGGUGUAGCGGUGAAAUGCGUAGAUAUGUGGAGGAACCCCGAUUGCGAAGGCAGCUUACUAGACUGUGACUGACAUUGAUGUGCGAAAGUGUGGGUAUCAAACAGGAUUAGAUACCCGUGUAGUC
Molecule: ribosomal RNA, 460 nt
Filed under: uncultured bacterium
Lineage: Bacteria
Description: partial 16S ribosomal RNA
Rfam family: Bacterial small subunit ribosomal RNA
Source: RNAcentral